RNAcentral lists this ribosomal RNA (506 nucleotides) under uncultured bacterium. RNAcentral's name for it is "partial 16S ribosomal RNA". It matches the Rfam family "Bacterial small subunit ribosomal RNA", at positions 29 to 523 of the family's 1533-position model. The record is from RNAcentral.
AGUGAACGCUGGCGGUAGGCCUAACACAUGCAAGUCGAACGGCAGCACAGAGGAGCUUGCUCCUUGGGUGGCGAGUGGCGGACGGGUGAGGAAUACAUCGGAAUCUACUCUGUCGUGAGGGAUAACGUAGGGAAACUUACGCUAAUACCGCAUACGACCUACGGGUGAAAGCAGGGGAUCUUCGGACCUUGCGCGAUUGAAUGAGCCGAUGUCGGAUUAGCUAGUUGGCGGGGUAAAGGCCCACCAAGGCGACGAUCCGUAGCUGGUCUGAGAGGAUGAGCAGCCACACUGGAACUGAGACACGGGCCAGACUCCUACGGGAGGCAGGAGUGGGGAAUAUUGGACAAUGAGCGCAAGCCUGAUCCAGCCAUGCCGCGUGUGUGAAGAAGGUCUUCGGAUUGUAAAGCACUUUAAGUCGGGAGGAAGUGCUGCAGGUUAAUCCCUUGCAGCCUUGACGUUACCGACAGAAUAAGCACCGGCUAACUUCGUGCCAGCCGCCGCGGUAA